Molecule: ribosomal RNA, 274 nt
Filed under: uncultured bacterium
Lineage: Bacteria
Description: partial 16S ribosomal RNA
Rfam family: Bacterial small subunit ribosomal RNA
Source: RNAcentral
AUACGGAGGGGGUUAGCGUUGUUCGGAAUUACUGGGCGUAAAGCGUACGUAGGCGGAUCGGAAAGUAAGGGGUGAAAUCCCAGGGCUCAACCCUGGAACUGCCUCUUAAACUCCCGGUCUUGAGUUCGAGAGAGGUGAGUGGAAUUCCUAGUGUAGAGGUGAAAUUCGUAGAUAUUAGGAGGAACACCAGUGGCGAAGGCGGCUCACUGGCUCGAUACUGACGCUGAGGUACGAAAGUGUGGGGAGCAAACAGGAUUAGAUACCCCGGUAGUCC